Long non-coding RNA from Zophobas morio, 493 nucleotides. RefSeq lists it as uncharacterized. NCBI's taxonomy places the organism in Eukaryota, Metazoa, Arthropoda, Insecta, Coleoptera, Tenebrionidae. The record is from RefSeq and is a predicted model, not a curated record. The transcript has 4 exons.
UAACGUUUGCUGUGCUUAGUAAAGCAAAAUGGAAGCCUGGCAGGUUUGCAAAAAGGACAAGCACUCUUUAAGGCUUUGUCUAAACUAUACGUCUUUUGCUUAAAAUAUGCCGGAAAAAAGCUUUUCUUCCAAUCAAAAAUCUUAUUAUUUACUUGAUAGCGACAGCAUUCUUUCUACUACCCGUUUUUCUUUUGAAAAAAACAAUACUUCGAGUUGGAGAAGUUUUGCAGCCCCGGCUUUCACUUCUCUUGAAAUUAAAGCUAUUAAAGAAUUUUCUAAAUCCCUGAAAUUAUUUCGCAGUGAUUCCAGUGUGGACUGUACUAACCUUACAGCGAAGUCAUCUUCCUGUAUAGAUUUCGUCGAUCGUUUUAAAUCUCUUUGUCAGGACUACUACCGUUUGAGCAGUCAAGAAGGCUUCCUUGAAAAUGAAAUUUUUUGGAAGUCAGAAACUGAAACCUGGGACUUGAUAAAAAUUCUUUUUUCUAAUCGUUUC